RNAcentral lists this non-coding RNA (45 nucleotides) under Schistosoma mansoni. Lineage: Eukaryota; Metazoa; Platyhelminthes; Trematoda; Strigeidida; Schistosomatidae. The record is from RNAcentral.
AUCCAACUGAUGAGUCUCAAAUAGGAUGAAACGCGCAUCGUGGAU